This 465-nucleotide ribosomal RNA is filed under the name uncultured bacterium. Its description in RNAcentral is "partial 16S ribosomal RNA". It matches the Rfam family "Bacterial small subunit ribosomal RNA", at positions 339 to 795 of the family's 1533-position model. The record is from RNAcentral.
CUACGGGCGGCAGCAGUGGGGAAUAUUGGACAAUGGGGGAAACCCUGAUCCAGCAAUGCCGCGUGUGUGGAGAAGGCCUGCGGGUUGUAAAGCACUUUCGGUUGGGAGGACUGCUUCUAGCACUAAUAUUGUUGGAAGUUGACGUUACCUUCAGAAGAAGCACCGGCUAACUCCGUGCCAGCAGCCGCGGUAAUACGGAGGGUGUAAGUGUUAAUCGGAAUUACUGGGCGUAAAGCGCGCGUAGGCGGCUAGAUCAGUCGGGUGUGAAAGCCCCGGGCUUAACCUGGGAACUGCAUCCGAUACUGUCUAGCUUGAGUACAGGAGAGGAGAGUGGAAUUCCACAUGUAGCGGUGAAAUGCGUAGAUAUGUGGAGGAACACCAAUGGCGAAGGCAGCUCUCUGGCCUGAUACUGACGCUGAGGUGCGAAAGCGUGGGGAGCAAACAGGAUUAGAUACCCUCGUAGUC